This 425-nucleotide ribosomal RNA is filed under the name uncultured bacterium. RNAcentral describes it as "bacterial SSU rRNA". It matches the Rfam family "Bacterial small subunit ribosomal RNA", at positions 354 to 796 of the family's 1533-position model. The record is from RNAcentral.
GUGGGGAAUAUUGGACAAUGGGCGCAAGCCUGAUCCAGCCAUGCCGCGUGAGUGACGAAGGCCUUAGGGUUGUAAAGCUCUUUUGGCGGGGACGAUAAUGACGGUACCCGCAGAAUAAGCUCCGGCUAACUUCGUGCCAGCAGCCGCGGUAAUACGAAGGGAGCUAGCGUUGUUCGGAAUCACUGGGCGUAAAGCGCACGUAGGCGGAUCGUUAAGUCGGGGGUGAAAUCCCGAGGCUCAACCUCGGAACUGCCUUCGAUACUGGCGAUCUUGAGUUCGGGAGAGGUGGGUGGAAUUCCUAGUGUAGAGGUGAAAUUCGUAGAUAUUAGGAAGAACACCGGUGGCGAAGGCGGCCCACUGGCCCGAUACUGACGCUGAGGUGCGAAAGCGUGGGGAGCAAACAGGAUUAGAUACCCUAGUAGUCC